GAAAUAGUUAAACUUAAGAAUGCUAGCUUUGGAGCUAAGGGGUUGGGGAGUUAAAAUCUCCUUUCUUUGA
Molecule: transfer RNA, 70 nt
Filed under: Luciogobius guttatus (flat-headed goby)
Lineage: Eukaryota; Metazoa; Chordata; Actinopteri; Gobiiformes; Gobiidae
Description: tRNA-Pro
Source: RNAcentral